This 596-nucleotide ribosomal RNA is filed under the name uncultured bacterium. Its description in RNAcentral is "bacterial SSU rRNA". It matches the Rfam family "Bacterial small subunit ribosomal RNA", at positions 112 to 704 of the family's 1533-position model. The record is from RNAcentral.
AAUGCCUAGGAAUCUGCCUGGUAGUGGGGGAUAACGUUCGGAAACGGACGCUAAUACCGCAUACGUCCUACGGGAGAAAGCAGGGGACCUUCGGGCCUUGCGCUAUCAGAUGAGCCUAGGUCGGAUUAGCUAGUUGGUGAGGUAAUGGCUCACCAAGGCGACGAUCCGUAACUGGUCUGAGAGGAUGAUCAGUCACACUGGAACUGAGACACGGUCCAGACUCCUACGGGAGGCAGCAGUGGGGAAUAUUGGACAAUGGGCGAAAGCCUGAUCCAGCCAUGCCGCGUGUGUGAAGAAGGUCUUCGGAUUGUAAAGCACUUUAAGUUGGGAGGAAGGGUUGUAGAUUAAUACUCUGCAGUUUUGACGUUACCGACAGAAUAAGCACCGGCUAACUCUGUGCCAGCAGCCGCGGUAAUACAGAGGGUGCAAGCGUUAAUCGGAAUUACUGGGCGUAAAGCGCGCGUAGGUGGUUUGUUAAGUUGGAUGUGAAAUCCCCGGGCUCAACCUGGGAACUGCAUUCAAAACUGACUGACUAGAGUAUGGUAGAGGGUGGUGGAAUUUCCUGUGUAGCGGUGAAAUGCGUAGAUAUAGGAAGG